RNAcentral lists this ribosomal RNA (460 nucleotides) under uncultured bacterium. RNAcentral describes it as "partial 16S ribosomal RNA". It matches the Rfam family "Bacterial small subunit ribosomal RNA", at positions 338 to 795 of the family's 1533-position model. The record is from RNAcentral.
CCUACGGGAGACUGCAGUGAGGAAUAUUGGUCAAUGGGCGCGAGCCUGAACCAGCCAAGUAGCGUGAAGGAUGACUGCCCUACGGGUUGUAAACUUCUUUUAUAAAGGAAUAAAGUGAGGCACGUGUUCCUUUUUGUAUGGACUUUAUGAAUAAGGAUCGGCUAACUCCGUGCCAGCAGCAGCGGUAAUACGGAGGAUCCGAGCGUUAUCCGGAUUUAUUGGGUUUAAAGGGAGCGUAGAUGGGUUGUUAAGUCAGUUGUGAAAGUUUGCGUUUCAACCGUAAAAUUGCAAUUGAUACUGGCAGCCUUGAGUACAGUUGAGGUAGGCGGAAUUCGUGGUGUAGCGGUGAAAUGCUUAGAUAUCACGAAGAACUCCGAUUGCGAAGGCAGCCUACUAGACUGCCACUGACAUUGAUGCUCGAAAGUGUGGGUAUCAAACAGGAUUAGAUACCCGAGUAGUC